UACGUAGGGUCCGAGCGUUGUCCGGAAUUAUUGGGCGUAAAGGGCUCGUAGGCGGUUUGUCGCGUCGGGGAGUGAAAACUCGGGGCUCAACCCCGCGCUUGCAUUCGAUACGGGCAGGCUCGAGUUCGGUAGGGGAGACUGGAAUUCCUGGUGUAGCGGUGGAAUGCGCAGAUAUCAGGAGGAACACCCGAUGGCGAAGGCAGGUCACUGGGCCGCAACUGACGCUGAGGAGCGAAAGCAUGGGGGAGCGAACAGG
RNAcentral lists this ribosomal RNA (256 nucleotides) under uncultured bacterium. Its description in RNAcentral is "partial 16S ribosomal RNA". It matches the Rfam family "Bacterial small subunit ribosomal RNA", at positions 524 to 776 of the family's 1533-position model. The record is from RNAcentral.